CAGAGAAUAGUUUAAUAAAAAUAUUAGUUUUGGGAAUUAAAGAUAAAAGGGGAUUUUUUCUCUGA
RNAcentral lists this transfer RNA (65 nucleotides) under Austinograea sp. PX-2020. Its description in RNAcentral is "tRNA-Pro". The record is from RNAcentral. Lineage: Eukaryota; Metazoa; Arthropoda; Malacostraca; Decapoda; Bythograeidae.